UACAUAAGGAGCAAGCGUUGUCCGGAAUCAUUGGGCGUAAAGAGCUCGUAGGCGGUAUCGAAAGUCAGCUGUGAAAUCACCAGGCUCAACCUGGUAGGGUCAGCUGAAACUUCGGUACUUGAGUGUAGAAGAGGAAAGCGGAAUUCCCGGUGUAGCGGUGAAAUGCGUAGAUAUAUGGAGGAACACCAGUGGCGAAGGCGACUCUCUGGUCUGUAACUGACGCUGAGGCUCGAAAGCGUGGGGAGCAAACAGGAUUAGA
This 259-nucleotide ribosomal RNA is filed under the name uncultured prokaryote. Its description in RNAcentral is "partial 16S ribosomal RNA". It matches the Rfam family "Bacterial small subunit ribosomal RNA", at positions 524 to 782 of the family's 1533-position model. The record is from RNAcentral.